RNAcentral lists this transfer RNA (83 nucleotides) under Tamias amoenus luteiventris. RNAcentral's name for it is "tRNA-Asn". The stretch from base 1 to 73 matches the Rfam family "tRNA". From Rfam's summary of the family: Transfer RNA (tRNA) molecules are approximately 80 nucleotides in length. Their secondary structure includes four short double-helical elements and three loops (D, anti-codon, and T loops). The record is from RNAcentral. Lineage: Eukaryota; Metazoa; Chordata; Mammalia; Rodentia; Sciuridae.
UAGAUUGAAGCCAGUUGAUUAGGGCGUUUAGCUGUUAACUAAAGGUUUAUGGGUUUAAAUCCCAUCGGUCUAGGAAUAUUAUG